GAGGUCAGGAGCAGGGCCCUCCCCUGCCUGGUGGGCAGCGGGUGGGGGCAGUCGGGCCACAGCCCUUCUGACCUGCCCAGCCCCAGAAGAAAAGCAAGCGGGGGCUGCCCCUGGACCUCCUAAAAUCCUGGCUGUUGGAGCAUUUUCCUCCAGACUGACCUUCCCUACACGGAGAUGGAAAUGAGCCGCGGUAGCCCUUGGCCCUGAACUCGGCUGGCUGCCUGCUCCUGUGGCCUGGCUUCAGGAAACAGGAGGAGGAAGCCCAAGGCAAGGCCUCUUCGUGCAGGCAUGGCCGCUCCCCAGGCCAGAAGCGCAGACGGAACCAGAAGACGCCUUCUACAAGCCGAGGGAAGCGCAGUCGUGUUGGCGAUAAAAGGCCUGAUGCGUCAGGGAACUGCAGAAAGCAAUCUGGAGGAAAACAGGUUCCUUGCGCCCCUUCACGGGAAGAUCAGCUCAUGGGUAGGGAAUGUGAUUUUGAAUCUGGACGAUGGUGACGUCUGUUGCUUUAUUCCAGGCAGCUGCCAAGCAAUCAGCAGACGGCAGGGACCGCCAGGCAUACCAGGACAUGACCUGCCACGUCCCCACUGUGAGCCAACGCUGGCUUAGGCUUGAGCCGGGCUGCAGGUCUUGAACCUCCCACAUCUCUGGGCAAAUCCAAGGACCUCGCAGUGACUCCAUAGCCUGCCCCUUGUCCUAAGGCCUCCUUCUCACCAUGAUGCCGACUGCGGCCCCUCCCAACUCCACACCUGCAGGGACUCACCAGUGUCAGGCUUGGGCAGAAUCCUCUUCUCCCAAGUGACCCAGGGGCAGUAUCCCCACAGCCCGCAGAUUCCUUCUGCAUCACCCUCACAGUGAGGCCACCGGACAGUGACGUCGGGCUGAUUCCCCGACUCUGCUGGCUCCGUUUCCUUCUGUGGCACAGCUCACCCUGUGGCUUAUGGACCCUGUGGCUUAUUGAUUAUGUUUACCGUUUGUUUCCCCCAGAACGCGAGCCUCACGAGGGAGGAGCGCCGUCUCUCACCUCUGCCUCUGAAGGGCAAACGCGCCACAGGGAAGUUACAUAAAGUCGAAGGAAUUUCAAGACCGAGAAAAAAGACCUAUUCAGUGGAAGCUAGCGAGUUCAUUGCUGAUGGUGCAGUCUGAUUUAUCUAGAAGAAAGGACCGAAGGGGAAAGGGCAGCCCUGCAGUCG
This is a non-coding RNA of Ictidomys tridecemlineatus (thirteen-lined ground squirrel), 1190 nucleotides long. Lineage: Eukaryota; Metazoa; Chordata; Mammalia; Rodentia; Sciuridae. The record is from RefSeq and is a predicted model, not a curated record.